This 497-nucleotide ribosomal RNA is filed under the name uncultured bacterium. Its description in RNAcentral is "partial 16S ribosomal RNA". It matches the Rfam family "Bacterial small subunit ribosomal RNA", at positions 28 to 507 of the family's 1533-position model. The record is from RNAcentral.
GAUGAACGCUGGCGGCGUGCCUAAUACAUGCCAGUCGAGCGAACGGACGGGAAGCUUCCUUCUCUGAUGUUAUCGGCAGGCGGGUGAAUAACACGUGGAUACCCUCCCUAUACGACUGGGAUCACUUCGGAAAACCGUCGCUAAUACCGGAUCAUAUUUUGAACCACAUUGUUCAAAAGUAAAAGACGGUUUUGCUGUUACUUAUUGAUGGAUCGUCGCUGUAUUUGCUAGUUGGUAAGGUAACGGCUUACCAAGACAAUGAUGCAUAGCCGACCGGAGAGGGUGAUCGCCAACACUGGAACGAAGAAACGGUCAAGACUCCUACGGGAGGAGCAAGAAGGGAAUCUUCGGCAAGGGGGGAAGGCCGGACGGAGAAACGCCGCGGGAGUGAGGAAGGUCUCCGGAUCGUAAAACUCUGUUAUUAGGGAAGAACAGAUGUGGAAGGAACUGUGCACAUCGUGACGGUACCUAAUCAGAAAGCCACGGCUAACUACGUG